This 492-nucleotide ribosomal RNA is filed under the name uncultured bacterium. RNAcentral describes it as "partial 16S ribosomal RNA". It matches the Rfam family "Bacterial small subunit ribosomal RNA", at positions 29 to 507 of the family's 1533-position model. The record is from RNAcentral.
AGUGAACGCUGGCGGUAGGCCUAACACAUGCAAGUCGAACGGCAGCACAGUAAGAGCUUGCUCUUACGGGUGGCGAGUGGCGGACGGGUGAGGAAUACAUCGGAAUCUACUUUUUCGUGGGGGAUAACGUAGGGAAACUUACGCUAAUACCGCAUACGACCUACGGGUGAAAGCAGGGGAUCUUCGGACCUUGCGCGAUUGAAUGAGCCGAUGUCGGAUUAGCUAGUUGGCGGGGUAAAGGCCCACCAAGGCGACGAUCCGUAGCUGGUCUGAGAGGAUGAUCAGGCACACUGGAACUGAGCCACGGUCCAGACUCCUACGGGAGGCAGCAGUGGGGACUAUUGGACAAUGGGCGCAAGCCUGAUCCAGCCAUACCGCGUGGGUGAAGAAGGCCUUCGGGUUGUAAAGCCCUUUUGUUGGGAAAGAAAAGCAGCAGGUUAAUACCCCGCUGUUCUGACGGUACCCAAAGAAUAAGCACCGGCUAACUUCGUG